Procambarus clarkii (red swamp crayfish) is the source of this 1892-nucleotide non-coding RNA. Lineage: Eukaryota; Metazoa; Arthropoda; Malacostraca; Decapoda; Cambaridae. The record is from RefSeq and is a predicted model, not a curated record.
AGUUUCCUCUCCUAACCUAACCUAGUAAGCUGGAGGACUCAAACAGAAAACGGGACAGUGUGUCACUUUCGUGAUUUCAUUUCAAAUUAAGUCCAUUUUUGGCCAUAGGCGCAUACCAGCGAAAAGCGCUGCUAUUUUAAAGAGAACAGGUUGAGUAUAUGCCCUAACCAACUUCGCCACAACAUGCUCAAAAGCAAUGCAACUUGGGGUUCAACUGAAUCCUCCAGGGCUCCUGAAGCUUCCACUGAAGCCCAAUCAGGGUUUCACACAUUGCCCGCAUGCACUCUGACCGUGGUAUAGAACUUCUACCUAUAACGCUUCUCUUCAAAUACACAAAAAAAUCACAUUAACAUAAUGUAUCAAUGAGAAAAUUAGUAGAAACAAAGGUAGGUGAGAAUCACAGCUUUUCAGUUUCCUGAUUGGCCCUCUGGCUGCUGGCUCAGGAAACAACCAAGGGUGACUCACUCAGAAAUAAUACAAAUUAGGGAAUAAUAAGAAAUAUUAUUAAUAUUAAUACUGUAUUAAUAAUAUUAAUAUUAUAGAAAUACUGUAAUAAGAAAUUAGUCACUUUCACCUGAACUGAUAAGGGUCCAGGACGGACCAAAAUGUCGUCACUUCUCCAUCUUCUGAGUUAUGGUUUGGUCAUCAAUAAAAAUUAGCAAUUCUUUGUCAAUCACACAGACAUUUAAUAUACUGUACAGUAUUUUUAAAUGUGGUGUGCUAUUUUCCUAAUUGGGAUAUAUUUGAAUACUGUAUUAGUGAAAAAUGUCUUUGUGCAUCCAAAAUAUUUAUUUUAUUAAGAUAAGUUCUAACAUUAAUGAAAAUGCCUUUGAAUGAUAGGCUAUGCUUCAAUGUAGGUAACAUACUGCUUUUGUAAAAUAAAUGGGUAAAAGUUUAUUUCACCAGCUCUUCACUGUACUGUAUGUCUCCUGAGAAAAGGGGAUUACUCCAGCAAGUCCUUAAAGUGAGUGGACAAGAGACAAGACCUUAUCUAUACUUUUGUCUCAAGCUGCCAAUUUUGGUAUGCCGCUCAAACAGCUGCCAGCUGAUAUUUAUUCACAACAGCCACAUGACGUUAUUUUUUAUUAAUUUACUAACGUCUGCCAGAGCUGCAAUCUGUUCUAGGCACAUUCAGUACACUCUUAUAUUACAGUGCAGCAAAAUAAGAACAAGUACUGUAGUUUUGAUCAUUAAGUACUGUAUAUUGUUUUGAACAAUUGUGCAAAUAAAUUUACAUUGAAAUAUGCUCAUAUCUGUGAGCAUAUUGAUAUUUCACUGUAGUCUCUUCAAAAGGAUGGUGAAGCUUAGGCCUAUAGAUAAGCAGUAUAAAAUCCUAAUGUUCCAUCAAAUUUUAAUGUUCAGAAAACAAAUUUAAUUGGAUAUCAUCCACUUAUUUCCAGCACACAUCACGGGCAAACUAUUUAACGUGUGAAAAAUAUCAAUAAUAUAUUCCAAUAAAAAAAGGUGAAACACAGACUUGCACCAACUAAUCAAUGCAGUGAUGCCCUCAUAGUACCUGUCUCGGUAAGCGUGGUCUCCAUCUUGUACAUAUCACACAUUGAUCUGUUGCGGCUACAUUUAGGAAUCGACAUGAGUUACAAGGCCAUUUGCAACCAUUAUUUAAAGAUUCACUCUUCUUUGAAGGUUGUCGUCUUGUUCCUGGAUCUUGAACGGUCUCGUUUCCUUGGGAAUUACUAUGUUGAAGGAUCUUUUUUGACGAGAUGAUAGAAUGUGUGUCGGACGUAAUGAUCUCGUUUGCUAAUUUUGAUCCUUUGUCACUAGAGGCCAGGGUGUGCGAUUCUUCUUGUUUCUUGACACUCCUGCCUCUUGCCAUUCCAAACCAUAGCCUGAAGUGUGAAAACAAUUAUGUUAAAUGUAUGCUUGUAACUGAU